This is a long non-coding RNA of Salvelinus sp. IW2-2015, 598 nucleotides long. RefSeq lists it as uncharacterized. The record is from RefSeq and is a predicted model, not a curated record. Lineage: Eukaryota; Metazoa; Chordata; Actinopteri; Salmoniformes; Salmonidae.
UCCACAGGAACGCUUUGUUGUAAAAUCACAGACAUGUUGUCACCGGGGCUGUGUACUUUGUUCUGAAACAUUACCUAAAAGAUAAGGUGAACGUCACUGGAUAGUUGCCUUACACUGAAGAGACCUGUUUCGCUGAAGAGACCUGUUUCGCUGAAGAGACCUGUUUCACUGAAGAGACCUGUUUCGCUGAAGAGACCUGUUUCACUGAAGAGACCUGUUUCGCCGAAGAGACCUGUUUCACCGAAGAGACCUGUUUCGCCGAAGAGACCUGUUUCACUGAAGAGACCUGUUUCGCUGAAGAGACCUGUUUCACGAGGUCAGGGGUGAAGGAUCAAGGAAUUGUCUGAGAAGGUCUGACAGAGAUGCUGUCCAGUGUGGUAGAGGAGGUGAGGCUGGCUAUCCACAGUGACAUCAGUGGUCUGAAGUCCUCUACAGCCUUCUCAGUGCCCUGGCUACAGUUCCUACUCAAGGUCUACGAGUGUCUGCAGAAGUUCAGAAGGCUUCCACCCAGUCCCUACUUGCCUUAUGCCUCUGGUCUCUCUCACGAGGUCAGUCCACCCAGUCCCUACUUGCCUUAUGUCUCUGGUCUCUCUCACGA